UGCUAAGAACCCUGUUUAAAUACAUUAGAGAUAUACUUGAUGUGUGCUCCAAAAUCUUAUAUUCAUUGGUGUGGGCGUGUUGACCCAUGUCAGAGGCUACAACGUCCAGUCGUCCACGAACAGGAGUUGAAACCCUCUCAGCUGGCACACUAUGACAAAUCACAUACAAAGCAUUUGGUCAGUAGAGACAGUGAGCAACAUCGAUGGAUACCUCCAGCCUGAAAACAUCUAAUGGUGCCACAACCUGUCAUUGGUCUGUCAGGUAAUGUUCUGAUAUCACCGCAAUUCAGAAGAACCUGAAGUGCAGAUGAAUGGUUUAGUACUUACACUGAGGGAAUGUGACGACUUCACCCAAAGCAAGGUACUGGAAGAAAGAAAAUGAUGUAUGGCUACAAGACUUGUGUCCAGAAGAGCAGAAGAGGAGUGGGGCUUGACCCAGACAAUCCUAUGUUUGUAACAAAGGAAACUCUUCAUAGUGCCUUCAGCUCCAUAGGUGUUCUGCUACUGAUAGAAUGUGCAGUGAAAUCAACGAAUAGGGAUUAACACCCAUAAACCACUGGAAGCACCAGGAGUGCAGUCUGUGUCAGCUGAAUAUCAUGUUUGCAUUAGUUAUCCUUUCCAAAUAUGACUGACUAUUUCUGUCAGUGUAAGAAUCCAUAAGACCUUUGGAACAUUGCCACGGUGUGGGCGUUUCUCUCUCAGGCUGAUACAGAUAGACUCCUCCAUGCUUUUAUUACAAGCAAGCUUGACUACUAUAAGGCUCUCCUGUCUGGUCUACCUAAGAAAGCCAUUGGUCAACUGCAGAACAUACAGAAUGGUGCAGCACGGGUACUGACCAAGACCAGACAGAGAGCACACAUUACACCAGUUUUAAGAUCUCUGCCUGUGAGUUUUAGAAUUAUUCUAUUGGUUGUAAAUCAAUCCAUGAUUGUGCACCCCAAUAGAUGCCAGACAUGCUUUUAAAGUUAUGUGCCCAGUAGGUCCCUCAGGUAUUCUGGCACUGGCCUUUAACUAUCCCAAAGCAAAACUGUUGACAUUUUUAAAAGAGAUCUUAAAACACACAUUUUUAGCUUGCUUUUCCUUAGGGUGCAUUUUAGUCGUUCAGUUUCUUAUUGUUAUUCUUUUGUUUUUUUAUCCUCUUAUGUUUGUUGUGUAGUAAAUAUUUCAGUUUUUAUUUUCAUUGUUUUUAUUAUUUUGUUGCAAUGAAUUACAUUGUGUUCCUGUGUGAAAUGUGCUGUAUAAAUAAAGCUUGAUUUGAUUUGAUAUUACCUUGCAUUAGGCCUAUAUUAUGAAUGAAAAAUAAAUAUGUACAUUCUCUCUGCUCGACAAGACUAGGUUUACAACAUUUGUUAUAUACAUAUGUAUGCAAGCACAUGUUUUAUUAACUAAAAAUACAUAUCCUUUUGGACAUGUUCGGCAGCUGAUUUUCCAGGUGAUUUCCCCAGUGUCAAGUUACUGUAAGUAGAAAA
Oncorhynchus masou masou (cherry salmon) is the source of this 1469-nucleotide long non-coding RNA. RefSeq lists it as uncharacterized. The transcript is spliced from 3 exons. NCBI's taxonomy places the organism in Eukaryota, Metazoa, Chordata, Actinopteri, Salmoniformes, Salmonidae. The record is from RefSeq and is a predicted model, not a curated record.